GAUGAACGCUGGCGGCGUGCCUAAUACAUGCAAGUCGAGCGAACAGACGAGGAGCUUGCUCCUCUGACGUUAGCGGCGGACGGGUGAGUAACACGUGGAUAACCUACCUAUAAGACUGGGAUAACUUCGGGAAACCGGAGCUAAUACCGGAUAAUAUAUUGAACCGCAUGGUUCAAUAGUGAAAGACAGUUUUGCUGUCACUUAUAGAUGGAUCCGCGCCGCAUUAGCUAGUUGGUAAGGUAACGGCUUACCAAGGCAACGAUGCGUAGCCGACCUGAGAGGGUGAUCGGCCACACUGGAACUGAGACACGGUCCAGACUCCUACGGGAGGCAGCAGUAGGGAAUCUUCCGCAAUGGGCGAAAGCCUGACGGAGCAACGCCGCGUGAGUGAUGAAGGUCUUCGGAUCGUAAAACUCUGUUAUUAGGGAAGAACAAAUGUGUAAGUAACUAUGCACGUCUUGACGGUACCUAAUCAGAAAGCCACGGCUAACCACGUG
RNAcentral lists this ribosomal RNA (497 nucleotides) under uncultured bacterium. RNAcentral describes it as "partial 16S ribosomal RNA". It matches the Rfam family "Bacterial small subunit ribosomal RNA", at positions 28 to 507 of the family's 1533-position model. The record is from RNAcentral.